AAACUCAGAGGUUACAAUAGCUUCAGUGCAAAACAAGGAUGAAUGGAAGGCUGUGCUGCAUUGUGUGACAUAAAAGAGAAGGACAAUCCAGCAAAGUCUGCUGUUCUUACAGUUCUUGUUCUACACUGUGAGGCCAUGGUGGAAGAGGAGAUUAGAAGCCAGGUCAAAGCAGUAUCUCGAACAGUUUUGGCAGUUUUGUCCAAAUGCCAUGGUCCUGUUCUGCUUUCGUAAUCCUUUGCACGGAGGAUUACAACUUGCUAGAAUCCACCUCCUGGUGUCAUGGAGUCCCUCCAUCUGCUUUACAUCACAAGGCCAGAUCGUUAGUUCUUAUGGACCUUCUCAUUGAAUGGGAUCUCCCACUUCGAGAGGACAGAGAUUCCCUUGGCCUGAAGCUCUGGAUCCUGGAAAGAGGGGAAUGAUGAUUAUAAGGUUCUUGUGGUAAUCGGACCAUGGCCAAGAUGCAAGACAAUGGGCCCACAUGGAGAAGAUAUAAAGCUGGAUACUGUGCUUCCAAUGGCUCUGUGGUCUGACAAGUCCCUAGAAUCAAAUCACUUGCCACAGGAAAAGUUUUUUUUCCCCUACCAGUAGAGGGGGGGAAA
This is a non-coding RNA of Pogona vitticeps (central bearded dragon), 599 nucleotides long. The record is from RefSeq and is a predicted model, not a curated record. Lineage: Eukaryota; Metazoa; Chordata; Lepidosauria; Squamata; Agamidae.